CGAGCUGAUUACUCCUCAUCUGCAAGCCUCUCCAUUUCCUGCACGGUGGGUGCCUCAAGAAGCUGGAGUCACCUACGUAUGUCUCGUGAUGCAAGAGGAGGAACCCAUUCAGUUCCCAGCCUCCGAACUUCGUGGGAAUCUUCAAGACAUUUUUGGCUUGGCAAAAUAUCCUCAAGUUCCCAGGAUGAAUCAGGACAGCCUUCUUUCUCCCCAAACUCCUAUUACUUCUGAUCCCACAGUCUGACCAUUUUAGAAGACUAAGGCAGCCAGUUCCCAAUCACCUAUUAAAACUGUUGUCCUGGAGGGUCUCACUUAAAAUAGGUACCUGGACCUCAACAUUAACAGCAAACUUGGCUCAUCCACUUGGUUAAU
Molecule: long non-coding RNA, 372 nt
Organism: Hipposideros armiger (great roundleaf bat)
Lineage: Eukaryota; Metazoa; Chordata; Mammalia; Chiroptera; Hipposideridae
Exons: 3
Source: RefSeq, a predicted model, not a curated record